Molecule: ribosomal RNA, 505 nt
Filed under: uncultured bacterium
Lineage: Bacteria
Description: partial 16S ribosomal RNA
Rfam family: Bacterial small subunit ribosomal RNA
Source: RNAcentral
GACGAACGCUGGCGGCGUGCCUAAUACAUGCAAGUAGAACGCACAGUUUAUACCGUAGCUUGCUACACCAUAAACUGUGAGUUGCGAACGGGUGAGUAACGCGUAGGUAACCUGCCUGGUAGCGGGGGAUAACUAUUGGAAACGAUAGCUAAUACCGCAUAAUAUUGAUUAUUGCAUGAUAAUUGAUUGAACGAUGCUAUUGCAUCACUACCAGAUGGACCUGCGUUGUAUUAGCUAGUAGGUGAGGUAACGGCUCACCUAGGCGACGAUACAUAGCCGACCUGAGAGGGUGAUCGGCCACACUGGGACUGAGACACGGCCCAGACUCCUACGGGAGGCAGCAGUAGGGAAUCUUCGGCAAUGGACGAAAGUCUGACCGAGCAACGCCGCGUGAGUGAAGAAGGUUUUCGGAUCGUAAAGCUCUGUUGUAAGAGAAGAACGGGUGUGAGAGUGGAAAGUUCACACUGUGACGGUAUCUUACCAGAAAGAGACGGCUAACUACGUG